CGCGGCCUAUCAGCUUGUUGGUGGGGUGAUGGCCUACCAAGGCUGCGACGGGUAGCCGGCCUGAGAGGGUGUUCGGUCACACUGGGACUGAGAUACGGCCCAGACUCCUACGGGAGGCAGCAGUGGGGAAUAUUGCACAAUGGGCGCAAGCCUGAUGCAGCGACGCCGCGUGGGGGAUGACGGCCUUCGGGUUGUAAACCUCUUUCAAUAGAGACGAAGCGCAAGUGACGGUACCUAUAGAAGAAGCACCGGCCAACUACGUGCCAGCAGCCGCGGUAAUACGUAGGGUGCGAGCGUUGUCCGGAAUUACUGGGCGUAAAGAGCUCGUAGGUGGUUUGUCGCGUUGUUCGUGAAAACCGGGGGCUUAACCCUCGGCGUGCGGGCGAUACGGGCAGACUGGAGUACUGCAGGGGAGACUGGAAUUCCUGGUGUAGCGGUGGAAUGCGCAGAUAUCAGGAGGAACACCGGUGGCGAAGGCGGGUCUCUGGGCAGUAACUGACGCUGAGGAGCGAAAGCGUGGGGAGCGAACAGGAUUAGAUACCCUGGUAGUCCACGCUGUAAACGGUGGGUACUAGGUGUGGGUUUCCUUCCUUGGGAUCCGUGCCGUAGCUAACGCAUUAAGUACCCCGCCUGGGGAGUACGG
RNAcentral lists this ribosomal RNA (643 nucleotides) under uncultured bacterium. Its description in RNAcentral is "bacterial SSU rRNA". It matches the Rfam family "Bacterial small subunit ribosomal RNA", at positions 232 to 885 of the family's 1533-position model. The record is from RNAcentral.